UGCCAGCCGCGCGGUAAUACAGAGGGUGCAAGCGUUAAUCGGAAUUACUGGGCGUAAAGCGCGCGUAGGUGGUUUGUUAAGUUGAAUGUGAAAUCCCCGGGCUCAACCUGGGAACUGCAUCCAAAACUGGCAAGCUAGAGUAUGGUAGAGGGUAGUGGAAUUUCCUGUGUAGCGGUGAAAUGCGUAGAUAUAGGAAGGAACACCAGUGGCGAAGGCGACUACCUGGACUGAUACUGACACUGAGGUGCGAAAGCGUGGGGAGCAAACAGG
This 270-nucleotide ribosomal RNA is filed under the name uncultured prokaryote. RNAcentral describes it as "partial 16S ribosomal RNA". It matches the Rfam family "Bacterial small subunit ribosomal RNA", at positions 506 to 776 of the family's 1533-position model. The record is from RNAcentral.